This is a non-coding RNA of Cinara cedri, 345 nucleotides long. The record is from the annotation of a GenBank genome assembly. Lineage: Eukaryota; Metazoa; Arthropoda; Insecta; Hemiptera; Aphididae.
UAAAUUACCACCACAAUCCCAAGGAUGAUGGUCUCAAUAGCCAUGUAAGAGAAAUUUAAUGCAAUUUAUUUAGAAAAAAAUUAGAUCAACUAAAGAGUUUGAAUUUAAGUUCCAACGCUGUUGAUAAAGCUUCAUCUACUUAGUUGGAUUGUCGGAAUUUGCAGAACAUAAAAUCAGAUAUCCUUAGAAAUGUUAGAUUGGAAGCGUUGAGCAACAAUGAUUAUGAUAAACAUCCUGUUCAGUUUAGAUUCUGACCGGAGCAAAGAAUGUAUAGGGAUUUUACUGUUUCUUUUUUUUUUCUGUGAACAUUUUCUACCAGAAAUUUUACUCAGAUUUUCAAAUUUG